GACGAACGCUGGCGGCGUGCUUAACACAUGCAAGUCGAACGGAAAGGCCUGCUUUCCCUUGUGGAUUGCGGGUACUCGAGUGGCGAACGGGUGAGUAACACGUGAGUGAUCUGCCCCCAACUUGGGUAUAAGCCUGGGAAACUGGGUCUAAUUCCCGAUAGGACUGCAGGGUGGUGCCUGUGGUGGAAAACGAUUUUCUAGUGGUUGGGGGUGAGCUCGCGGCCUAUCAGCUUGUUGGUGGGGUAAUGGCCUACCAAGGCGGCGACGGGUAGCCGGCCUGGGAGGGUGGACGGCCACAUUGGGACUGAGAUACGGCCCAGACUCCUACGGGAGGCAGCAGUGGGGAAUAUUGCACAAUGGGCGGAAGCCUGAUGCAGCGACGCCGCGUGGGGGAUGACGGCCUUCGGGUUGUAAACUCCUUUCGACCGCGAGGAAGCCACCUGGUUGGAAGGGUGGUGACGGUAGUGGUAGAAGAAGCACCGGCUAACUACGUG
This 494-nucleotide ribosomal RNA is filed under the name uncultured bacterium. RNAcentral describes it as "partial 16S ribosomal RNA". It matches the Rfam family "Bacterial small subunit ribosomal RNA", at positions 28 to 507 of the family's 1533-position model. The record is from RNAcentral.